RNAcentral lists this long non-coding RNA (701 nucleotides) under Marmota monax (woodchuck). Lineage: Eukaryota; Metazoa; Chordata; Mammalia; Rodentia; Sciuridae. The record is from RNAcentral.
UUUUUUUUUUUUUUUUUUUUUAGCAGCAGAGAAGAAUAUAAGGACUUGAUUCACCAGGCAUGUGGCACAAACCUGUAAUCCCAGAUGCUCCGGAGGUAGAGGAAGGAGGAGAUCAGGAGUCCAAAACCAGCCUCAGCAAAAGCGAGGUGCUAAGCAAUUCAGUGACACCCUGCUUCUAAAUAAAAUACAAAAUAGGCCUGGGAAUGUGGCUGAGUGGUUGAGUGCCCUGAGUUCAAUCUCCGCUACUCCUCCCCAACCCUGAAAAGAGGACUUGAUUCAUGCUACUAGUUUUACUUACCAUUGCUUUUUAAUUGCCAAUGCAAUUGUUAACUGAGCCAUUCCAAGGUAAAGUAUGAAAUUCAGAUGUUAAAUACUUUCUGCACAACUUGUAUUUGAUGUCAAGCAUUCAAAUAAAAGAUAUUUGUUAAAUAGUUGUUGCUGAUACCAGACAGAGACAAGUAAACAACUAGUCCAGUAAUAUUUGUAGACCUAUCCAGUUUUAAGGAAAAUUUACAACUCUGCAAACAAGGUAUCAAUUGAGUCUUUGUUUCAGUUUAACCAUUAAUUCAUUUGGAAAAUGGCAUUUCUAUGUUUUUUUUAAUUGACUUCUCAUCCAGCAGGCCUUCAGCAAUGUAAUCUAUAUGCAGCUUCAUUAAUAUUUUGUGUGCUCUAGCCAGUGUACUACAAUAAUUCAUCCUGAA